RNAcentral lists this ribosomal RNA (235 nucleotides) under uncultured bacterium. RNAcentral describes it as "partial 16S ribosomal RNA". It matches the Rfam family "Bacterial small subunit ribosomal RNA", at positions 118 to 347 of the family's 1533-position model. The record is from RNAcentral.
UGAGCAAUCUGCCCUUCUCAUCGGAAUAAGCGUUGGAAACGACGUCUAAUGCCGAAUACGACCUCCUUUCGCAUGAUCGGAGGUGGAAAGCUCCGGCGGAGAAGGAUGAGCUCGCGGCCUAUCAGCUAGUUGGUGUGGGUAAUGGCCCACCAAGGCGACGACGGGUAGCCGGCCUGAGAGGGUGACCCGGCCACACGUGGGACUGAGACACGGCCCAGACCUCCGACGGGAGCAG